Molecule: ribosomal RNA, 1482 nt
Filed under: uncultured Bordetella sp.
Lineage: Bacteria; Pseudomonadati; Pseudomonadota; Betaproteobacteria; Burkholderiales; Alcaligenaceae
Description: partial 16S-23S ribosomal RNA intergenic spacer
Rfam family: Bacterial small subunit ribosomal RNA
Source: RNAcentral
GGUUCGAUCAUGGCCCAGAUUGAACGCUGGCGGGAUGCUUUACAUGCAAGUCGAACGGCAGCAUGGACUUCGGUCUUGUGGCGAGUGGCGAACGGGGAGUAAUGUAUCGGAACGUGCGUCACUAGUAGCGGGAUAACUACGCGAAAGCGUAGCUAAUACCGCAUACGCCCUUCUUUCGGGGAAAGCGGGGACCUCGGGCCUCGCACUAUUAGAGCGGCCGAUAUCGGAUUAGCUAGUUGGUGGGGUAACGGCUCACCAAGGGCGAUUGAUCCGUAGCUGGUUUGAGAGGACGACCAGCCACACUGGGACCGAGACACGGCCCAUAGACUCCUACGAGGCAGUGGGGCACCUGACAAUGGGGGAAACCCCGGAUCACAGCCACCUCCGGGCGUGUGCGAUGAAGGCCUUCGGGUUGUAAAGCACUUUGGCAGGAAAAGAAACGGCACGGAUAAUCACUCCUGCUAAAAUGAUUAUACCUGCAGAAUAAGCACCUGGCCAAUCACAUGCGCCACAGCAGCCGCGGUAAUACGUAGGGUGCAAGCGUUAAUCAAUUACUGGGCGUAGCGUGCGCAGGCGGUUCGGAAAAAGAGGAUGAAAUCCCAGAGCUUAACUUGGAACUGCAUUUUUAACUACCGAGCUAGAGUGUCAGAGGGAGGUGGAAUUCCGCGUGUAGCAGCAGAGUGCGUAGAUAUGCGGAGGAACACCGAUGGCGAAGGCAGCCUCCCUGGGAUAACACUGACGCUCAUGCACGAAAGUGUGGAGCAAACAGGAUGACAGCACCCCCUCAGUCCACGCCCUAAACGAUGUCAACUAGCUACAGCCUCUGGCCUCGGUAGCGCAGCUAACAUGCGAAGCUGACCGCCUGGGGAGUACGGUCGCAAGAUUAAAACUCAAAGGAAUUGACGGGACCCGCACAAGCGGUGGAUGAUGUGGAUUAAUCUGAUGGCAACGCGAAAACCUUUACCCACCCCGACAUGUCUGGAAUCCCGAAGAGAUUUGGGAGUGCUCGCAAGAGAACCGAACACAGGUGCUGCAUGGCUGUCGUCAGCUCGUGUCGUGAGAUGUUGUUAAGUCCCGCACGAGCGCAACCCUUGUCAUUAUUGCUGCUGAAAGGGCACCUGACGUGAGACUGCCGGUGACAAACCGGAGGAAGGUGGGGAUGACGUCAAGUCCCUCAUGGCCCUUAUGGGUAGGCCUUCACACGUCAUACAAUGGUCGGGACAGAGGGUCGCCAACCCGCGAGGGGGAGCCAAUCCCAGAAACCCGGAUCGUAGUCCGGAUCGCAGUCUGCAACUCGACUGCGGAAGUCGGAACGGCUAGUAAUCGCGGAUCAGCAUGUCGCGGUGAAUACGUUCCCGGGUCUUGUACACACCGCCCGUCACACCAUGGGAGUGGGUUUACCAGAAGUAGUUAGCCUAACCGUAAGGAGGGCGAUUACCACGGUAGGAUUCAGAUGACUGGGGUGAAGUCGUAACAAGGUAA